UACGAAGGGGGCUAGCGUUGCUCGGAAUCACUGGGCGUAAAGCGCACGUAGGCGGAUUGUUAAGUCAGGGGUGAAAUCCUGGAGCUCAACUCCAGAACUGCCUUUGAUACUGGCGAUCUUUGAGUCCGGGAGAGGUGAGUGGAACUCCGAGUGUAGAGGUGAAAUUCGUAGAUAUUCGGAAGAACACCAGUGGCGAAGGCGGCUCACUGGCCCGGUACUGACGCUCAUGUGCGAAAGCGUGGGGAGCAAACAGG
This 254-nucleotide ribosomal RNA is filed under the name uncultured bacterium. Its description in RNAcentral is "partial 16S ribosomal RNA". It matches the Rfam family "Bacterial small subunit ribosomal RNA", at positions 524 to 776 of the family's 1533-position model. The record is from RNAcentral.